UGACCCAGCAACGCCGCGUGGAGGAUGAAGGUCGUAAGAUUGUAAACUCCUGUUAGAGGGGACGAAUAGCACCGAUCGACUCGGUGUUUGACUGUACCCUCAGAGAAAGCCCCGGCUAACUACGUGCCAGCAGCCGCGGUAAUACGUAGGGGGCAAGCGUUGUCCGGAUUCACUGGGUGUAAAGGGCGCGCAGGCGGGUUAGCAAGUCAGAGGUGAAAUCCUACAGCUUAACUGUAGAACUGCCUUUGAAACUGUUAAUCUUGAGUGCGGAAGAGAGAGACGGAAUUCCAGGUGUAGCGGUGAAAUGCGUAGAUAUCUGGAAGAACACCAGUUGCGAAGGCGGUCUCUUGGUCCGUUACUGACGCUCAGGCGCGAAAGCGUGGGGAGCAAACAGGAUUAGAUACCCUGGUAGUCCACGCCCUAAACGAUGAAUACUAGGUGUUGGUCUCAUUGAGAUCAGUGCCGCAGCUAACGCAUUAAGUAUUCCACCUGGGGAGUACGAUCGCAAGGUUGAAACUCAAG
Molecule: ribosomal RNA, 522 nt
Filed under: uncultured bacterium
Lineage: Bacteria
Also listed under: 1 other name
Description: bacterial SSU rRNA
Rfam family: Bacterial small subunit ribosomal RNA
Source: RNAcentral